CAGUAGCCGCGGGAAAACGUAGGUGGCAAGCGUUGUCCGGAUUUAUUGGGCGUAAAGCGAGCGCAGGCGGUUCCUUAAGUCUGAUGUGAAAGCCCCCGGCUCAACCGGGGAGGGUCAUUGGAAACUGGGGAACUUGAGUGCAGAAGAGGAGAGUGGAAUUCCAUGUGUAGCGGUGAAAUGCGUAGAUAUAUGGAGGAACACCAGUGGCGAAGGCGACUCUCUGGUCUGUAACUGACGCUGAGGCUCGAAAGCGUGGGUAGCAAACAGGAUUAGAUACCCGCGUAGUCCCUGUCUCUUAUAC
Molecule: ribosomal RNA, 301 nt
Filed under: uncultured bacterium
Lineage: Bacteria
Description: partial 16S ribosomal RNA
Rfam family: Bacterial small subunit ribosomal RNA
Source: RNAcentral